Molecule: ribosomal RNA, 513 nt
Filed under: uncultured bacterium
Lineage: Bacteria
Description: bacterial SSU rRNA
Rfam family: Bacterial small subunit ribosomal RNA
Source: RNAcentral
CUACGUGCCAGCAGCCGCGGUAAUACGUAGGUCCCGAGCGUUAUCCGGAUUUAUUGGGCGUAAAGCGAGCGCAGGCGGUUAGAUAAGUCUGAAGUUAAAGGCUGUGGCUUAACCAUAGUACGCUUUGGAAACUGUUUAACCUGAGUGCAGAAGGGGAGAGUGGAAUUCCAUGUGUAGCGGUGAAAUGCGUAGAUAUAUGGAGGAACACCGGUGGCGAAAGCGGCUCUCUGGUCUGUAACUGACGCUGAGGCUCGAAAGCGUGGGGAGCAAACAGGAUUAGAUACCCUGGUAGUCCACGCUGUAAACGAUGUCGAUUUGGGGAUUGGGCUUUGAGCUUGGUGCCCGUAGCUAACGUGAUAAAUCGACCGCCUGGGGAGUACGGCCGCAAGGUUAAAACUCAAAUGAAUUGACGGGGGCCCGCACAAGCGGUGGAGCAUGUGGUUUAAUUCGAUGCAACGCGAAGAACCUUACCUACUCUUGACAUCCAUGAAUCUUGUAGAGAUACGAGAGUGC